This 345-nucleotide ribosomal RNA is filed under the name uncultured Bacteroidota bacterium. RNAcentral describes it as "bacterial SSU rRNA". It matches the Rfam family "Bacterial small subunit ribosomal RNA", at positions 104 to 448 of the family's 1533-position model. The record is from RNAcentral. Lineage: Bacteria; Pseudomonadati; Bacteroidota.
GGGUGCGUAACGCGUAUGCAAUCUACCUUUUACUGGAGUAUAGCCCAGAGAAAUUUGGAAUAAUCCUCCAUAAUAUCAUUUAAUCGCAUGAUUUUUUGAUUAAAGCUUCGGUGGUAAAAGAUGAGCAUGCGUUCUAUUAGCUAGUAGGUAAGGUAACGGCUUACCUAGGCAACGAUAGAUAGGGGUCCUGAGAGGGAGAUCCCCCACACUGGUACUGAGACACGGACCAGACUCCUACGGGAGGCAGCAGUGAGGAAUAUUGGACAAUGGACGAAAGUCUGAUCCAGCCAUGCCGCGUGCAGGAUGAAUGCCCUAUGGGUUGUAAACUGCUUUUAUAUAGGAAGA